GAUGAAGAACGCAGCAAAAUGCGAUAAGUAAUGUGAAUUGCAGAAUUCAGUGAAUCAUCGAAUCUUUGAACGCACAUUGCGCCCCCUGGUAUUCCGGGGGGCAUGCCUGUUCGAGCGUCAUUUCACCACUCAAGCCUCGCUUGGUAUUGGGCAACGCGGUCCGCCGCGUGCCUCAAAUCGUCCGGCUGGGUCUUCUGUCCCCUAAGCGUUGUGGAAACUAUUCGCUAAAGGGUGUUCGGGAGGCUACGCCGUAAAACAACCCCAUUUCUAAGGUUGACCUCGGAUCAGGUAGGGAUACCCGCUGAACUUAAGCAUAUCAAUAAGCGGAGGA
This 331-nucleotide unclassified non-coding RNA is filed under the name soil metagenome. RNAcentral describes it as "partial contains 5.8S ribosomal RNA, internal transcribed spacer 2, and large subunit ribosomal RNA". The stretch from base 1 to 120 matches the Rfam family "5.8S ribosomal RNA", at positions 35 to 154 of the family's 154-position model. The record is from RNAcentral.